GCGCGUGUGGUGGAAUUGGGAUACAUGCUGGUCUUAGAAACCAGUGCCGAAAGGAUUGAGGGUUCAAGUCCCUCCGCGCGCACCA
RNAcentral lists this transfer RNA (85 nucleotides) under Pseudomonadota bacterium. Its description in RNAcentral is "tRNA-Leu". It matches the Rfam family "tRNA". From Rfam's summary of the family: Transfer RNA (tRNA) molecules are approximately 80 nucleotides in length. Their secondary structure includes four short double-helical elements and three loops (D, anti-codon, and T loops). Further hydrogen bonds mediate the characteristic L-shaped molecular structure. tRNAs have two regions of fundamental functional importance: the anti-codon, which is responsible for specific mRNA codon recognition, and the 3' end, to which the tRNAs corresponding amino acid is attached (by aminoacyl-tRNA synthetases). tRNAs cope with the degeneracy of the genetic code in two manners: having more than one tRNA (with a specific anti-codon) for a particular amino acid; and 'wobble' base-pairing, i.e. permitting non-standard base-pairing at the 3rd anti-codon position. The record is from RNAcentral. Lineage: Bacteria; Pseudomonadati; Pseudomonadota. RNAcentral also lists the same sequence under 8 other names.